GUUGUUGUGGUGUAGUGGUUAUCACGUUAGUCUUACACACGGAAGGUUUCUAGUUCAAUCCUAGGCAACAACA
Molecule: transfer RNA, 73 nt
Organism: Ipomoea nil (Japanese morning glory)
Lineage: Eukaryota; Viridiplantae; Streptophyta; Magnoliopsida; Solanales; Convolvulaceae
Rfam family: tRNA
About the family: Transfer RNA (tRNA) molecules are approximately 80 nucleotides in length. Their secondary structure includes four short double-helical elements and three loops (D, anti-codon, and T loops). Further hydrogen bonds mediate the characteristic L-shaped molecular structure. tRNAs have two regions of fundamental functional importance: the anti-codon, which is responsible for specific mRNA codon recognition, and the 3' end, to which the tRNAs corresponding amino acid is attached (by aminoacyl-tRNA synthetases). tRNAs cope with the degeneracy of the genetic code in two manners: having more than one tRNA (with a specific anti-codon) for a particular amino acid; and 'wobble' base-pairing, i.e. permitting non-standard base-pairing at the 3rd anti-codon position.
Source: Rfam